UACAGAGGGUGCGAGCGUUGUUCGGAUUCACUGGGCGUAAAGGGUGCGCAGGCGGCCGUGUGUGUGAGGCGUGAAAGCCCGGGGGCUUAACCCCGGAAUUGCACCUCAAACUACACGGCUAGAGCAUUGGAGAGGGUAGCAGAAUUCACGGUGUAGCAGUGAAAUGCGUAGAUAUCGUGAGGAAUACCAGAGGCGAAGGCGGCUACCUGGACAAUUGCUGACGCUCAGGCACGAAAGCGUGGGGAGCAAAAGGG
This 254-nucleotide ribosomal RNA is filed under the name uncultured bacterium. RNAcentral's name for it is "partial 16S ribosomal RNA". It matches the Rfam family "Bacterial small subunit ribosomal RNA", at positions 524 to 776 of the family's 1533-position model. The record is from RNAcentral.